AAGAAAAAGAUCGAGAAAAAGAGAAAAAGGAAGGGAAAAGCAAGAAAAAAGAGGAAGGAGAAGUCAAAGAAAAAAAUAAAGACAAGGAAGCAGAGGCUGAUGACCAAGAGCUAAACAGCCUACUCACAAAAAUCUACACGUUUGAAGAAG
Molecule: long non-coding RNA, 150 nt
Organism: Hydractinia symbiolongicarpus
Lineage: Eukaryota; Metazoa; Cnidaria; Hydrozoa; Anthoathecata; Hydractiniidae
Exons: 2
Source: RefSeq, a predicted model, not a curated record